This 253-nucleotide ribosomal RNA is filed under the name uncultured bacterium. Its description in RNAcentral is "partial 16S ribosomal RNA". It matches the Rfam family "Bacterial small subunit ribosomal RNA", at positions 524 to 776 of the family's 1533-position model. The record is from RNAcentral.
UACGUAGGGUGCAAGCGUUGCCCGGAAUUACUGGGCGUAAAGCGUGCGCAGGCGGUUUCUUAAGUCAGAUGUGAAAGCCCCGGGCUUAACCUGGGAACUGCGUUUGAAACUGGGAGACUUGAGUGUGGCAGAGGGGGGUGGAAUUCCACGUGUAGCAGUGAAAUGCGUAGAUAUGUGGAGGAACACCGAUGGCGAAGGCAGCCCCCUGGGUUAACACUGACGCUCAUGCACGAAAGCGUGGGGAGCAAACAGG